Triticum aestivum (bread wheat) is the source of this 1086-nucleotide long non-coding RNA. RefSeq lists it as uncharacterized. The transcript is spliced from 2 exons. The record is from RefSeq and is a predicted model, not a curated record. Lineage: Eukaryota; Viridiplantae; Streptophyta; Magnoliopsida; Poales; Poaceae.
CUCUUAAUUCCCUGUCUCCUCUCCUCUCCCGAUCCAUCCAUCCAUAUCUCUCCCAUCUUUCUCUCCGCUCAAGCCCUCGACUACAUCACGGUGCACCGCGCCUCUGCCCCCACCUCCUUCUGCCGCCCGCCCGCGCCUUGCCGCUAGGUUAGGUCACCCACGAACUACCGACGCACCACGCCGCGCCAUCGACCUACGAAUCUACGAUCGCGGAGAAGUUGCAGAUCAUGGGAGAGCGGCCAUGCUCUGCCUAGAGAUGUCAUCUGUGGUGCCAUCUUCUUGCAUCGCCCGUGUGGAAAUUGGUACAUCGGUUUUUUUUUGCGGGGAAAUACAGGUACAUCGUUGAUCACAAAUGGACACAUAUCUUCCCAAACGAAAAGCAACAUCACAAGAAGUCCAACCUCGCACUUUUGAAUUUCCGUAACCAUCGAGAAGAAAAUAGCAGAAGGUUUAUUCCCAGGUUACAUUUAUUAUUUUCACUUCAUAAUUUGAUGUCACAUCUGGUUACUUUACAUGUACUACUAUGCUGGAUUAUAGGUAGGAUGAAUUAUUCUACUACCGUCAACUUUCCCUUACGAGUGGCAUCAAUAAUUGUGAGUGUAUUAACUCAGUAAGAACUUGAUCGUCCCUUAUUUGUUAUCAUAUGGUAGUGUGUCGUUUGUUUUUCUGAAUUUUAUAUGCAAAGAAUUUUUAAAUACCUUACCGUCAGAGGGAUUGAACUAAAUAUGUUUGCACCAUUGUUAAAGUUGUGUACCAGGGUUGAUUUUCUCCAGCUCGGCCCUGUUGAUCGCCACUGCUGUACACGCAACCAGAGCGUCUACCAUGUUGACCGCUAACACCAAUACGCAAGAAGAAACCUUCCCCGGUGGCGGUGAGGAACAUGACGAAGUUGUCGGUGCAUGAGUGUAUCUACGAGGUGAGGCCGGUGGGCUAUAGCUUUGUGGUGAUCUUUUAGCUGUAACUUCGAAGUUUUCUUCCCUUGCAAAAGAAGCGGAGCUGGUAGCCUACAUAUUAUUUUUGUCAAAUAAAAGACAUUUGUUCAUUGUUUUCCUAAUUCUUUUAUGAGAAUUAAUUUACCAAGUAAAA